This 508-nucleotide ribosomal RNA is filed under the name uncultured bacterium. RNAcentral describes it as "partial 16S ribosomal RNA". It matches the Rfam family "Bacterial small subunit ribosomal RNA", at positions 28 to 507 of the family's 1533-position model. The record is from RNAcentral.
GACGAACGCUGGCGGCGUGCCUAAUACAUGCAAGUCGAACGCUUCUUUCCUCCCGAGUGCUUGCACUCAAUUGGAAAGAGGAGUGGCGGACGGGUGAGUAACACGUGGGUAACCUACCCAUCAGAGGGGGAUAACACUUGGAAACAGGUGCUAAUACCGCAUAACAGUUUAUGCCGCAUGGCAUAAGAGUGAAAGGCGCUUUCGGGUGUCGCUGAUGGAUGGACCCGCGGUGCAUUAGCUAGUUGGUGAGGUAACGGCUCACCAAGGCCACGAUGCAUAGCCGACCUGAGAGGGUGAUCGGCCACACUGGGACUGAGACACUGCCCAGACUCCUACGGGAGGCAGCAGUAGGGAAUCUUCGGCAAUGGACGAAAGUCUGACCGAGCAACGCCGCGUGAGUGAAGAAGGUUUUCGGAUCGUAAAACUCUGUUGUUAGAGAAGAACAAGGACGUUAGUAACUGAACGUCCCCUGACGGUAUCUAACCAGAAAGCCACGGCUAACUACGUG